GGCUAGGCUAAAAUAUCUUGGUGUGGUUACAGGUCAGUGUGCAAAGAACCAGCCACAAACAAGCCAUCUUCACCUGGAGCUUCCAUACUGCUGACAAAAGGGCAGCUGGUACAACCCUCCGUACUCAGGGUUACAGUCAUUUACUGGUCUUCUACAAGAACUGAGUCAUUACUAUCACAAUAUCGGAGAAAACUGUUCAUCUGCUUUCUGUUCAAACCAGAAGAAGGGGGACAGAAGGAAAAAAAAAGAAAAGAGUUUGGUUAACCUCCAAAAAUACAUGUUAUAUUGGAAAGGUUCCAGGCAAAAAAGAAAAGAACUAAUAUAGAAGCCCAGGUGACAGAAGCGUGGCAAUUACUACCUUUCCUCCGAAGCUGGUGUUCCUGUUUGCUCCCAUGAUCUUCUGCAUUAGUAAGAGUUUCCUGUAACUGUUGUAGCUUCUCCUGGUUCUGAAGAUGUGUCAUGCGUAGCUGAGCUCGAAGGUCCUGUAUUUCAUAAAGCAAGCUAUUCCUGUCUGAGGAGAAAAGGUGCUCUACAACCAUCUGCCGCUGUUCCUCCUGAAAAUGAACCAAGUGUCAAUAAAUCUACAAAGCUAUUCCCAUUUUUUCCUACAAGGAUAAACCCUAGAGAAACCUUUGCAUUAGAAGUUUUAUAGAAAGGCAACUUCAAAUGACUAGGUUCAUGCCCCAUUUUAAUUCAACGUUAACGUUAAGUAACACAAAAACACUUCGUUGGCUUCCAAAUAGCCUGAUAGUUAUUAAUAAUAGUUUACACAUAAUAGUUGCUACAAACCAUCUGGCCUGCAGCUAAAAGCUAAAUAUUGUCAUGAAACAAUCCCAAAUAUAUUCAGGGUUAGCUCAAAAUACACCCUUUGCAAGAGAGAUCUGCGAUGCUCCAGAUGGAAUUCUUCUUUCCCACCCUCCUUCAUCAAAUAUUUCCUUUUCACUACCACAAUCUCCUGAUCACUACUUUUUCUGGCUGCCAAAUAUAAUAAUCAAUAGAUUUUCAACAUGAAGUCUGAGAAAAAAUGGUGCCAAAAUAAAGAUUAUAAAAGCAUACUGAUAGGACACAAUCUGGAUUAAUGCAUAAGAUGUAAGAUUCAGGAACAGAGGCGAUAAAACUGUAAAAUAAUUGCAGUAUCCAUGCAUCACGCCCAUAUCCACUCUUAAAUUAAAAUAUGGUGGAAUAGAAGAAGCGAUUUAUAAGCAUAAUACUUUAAGAGGUUUUCUUACUUGUUGUUUCAUAAUAUGCUCCAGUUUUUCCACUAAUGAACCUUCAUCACCAGACCCAGGAUUGCAGAAGUGAGACUUCAUAUCAAUCUGCAACACGUUUCUCUCCUUAUCGAACACCCUCUGUACUGCUUGGAGAAGUUCUCCUCUCCAGUCAGUGGUAAUAUCCGAAUGUUCCUGUAGAAAACAAGCAUACUUACUGGCAUCUGUAGCAUCAACCUCUAACUUGCAAACCACAUACAGCCUACCAACACCUUUCAGAUGGCCUGCAACUGUAAAGUGUCUUUUGUAUCAUUGCUGCAGAAAACUACUUUGUAAUUUAAGCAGACUAAAAGGUGUUAGAGAGGCCUGUUCAAACCUCAGAAAGGAAAGAAUCCCCUGCUCCUCAUACAUACAUUGUAUAUGUUUUUAUGUAUAUAUAUAUUUAAAAAUAAAGAACUGGUAACCAUG
This is a long non-coding RNA of Dromaius novaehollandiae (emu), 1676 nucleotides long. RefSeq lists it as uncharacterized. Lineage: Eukaryota; Metazoa; Chordata; Aves; Casuariiformes; Dromaiidae. The record is from RefSeq and is a predicted model, not a curated record. The transcript is spliced from 3 exons.